Molecule: long non-coding RNA, 2097 nt
Filed under: Sus scrofa (pig)
Lineage: Eukaryota; Metazoa; Chordata; Mammalia; Artiodactyla; Suidae
Description: lncRNA (ENSSSCG00055018202.1)
Source: RNAcentral
GCAAAAGUGGCUGACUCAUCCCAUACGAGGAAUUCCCAAAGAGAUGACCUGUCAAUUUCUCAUCAGAAACCCUGAAGGCGAGAAGUCAGUGGGUUGAUACAACCAAUACGCUUAAAGGGGCGGGGGGAGAAUAUCAAUGGACAACUUUAUAUCCAAUAAAACCAUCCUUUAACAAUGAGGCAGAAAUGACAUUCCAAGAUUUUAAAAAGCCGAGGGUGUUUAUUACCACUAGACCUUCCCUUCAGGAAAUGUUAAAGAGAGUUCUUCAGGCUGAAAUAAAAGGAAAACAGUAACCUGAAGCCACAUAAAGAAAUUAGGGUAAAGGUAAAUGCAUAGGCAAUUGUGAAAGCUACUACUACUGUAAUUUUGCUUGUAGCCUGAUUUUCUAUAUUCUAAAGAUUUAAAUUACAAAUGCAUUAGAGGAGUUCCUGUCAUGGCUCAGUAGUUAAUGAAUCCAACUAGGAACCAUGAGGCCAGGGAUCAAACCCACAUCCUCAUGGAUGCUAGUCAGGUUCAUUAACCACUGAGCUUCCCCAGGAACUCGACAGUGUUCUGUCAAUUUUCUAUUGCACAGCUAGCAAUCCCACUCUUGGGUAUGUAUCCUGACAAAACGUUCCUUGAAAAAGUUACAUGCACCUGGGAGUUCUAUAUUUGUUUUAAAUGUAUCAUUUGUAUAGAUGUUUUGGCUGUUACUCUGGGUAAGUCAUUUAUAUAACUUAUUGUAGUUCUGUGGUGUGGGCAUUGUAACACAGCAAGUGGAGGUAGCUUACCCUUCCCACUUUAUAAUUUGCUUUAAAAUUACAACUAUAUAUGUUGAAAACCUUAUCAGACAAGGUAGUAAUUUUUGUUUCAACCUGCAAAUACAAGUUAGAAACUCAAGACCAGAAAGAUAUUUGUAUUGUAUUUACUCACAUUUUUACUCUUUCCGUUUUCUUUUCUUUUUCAGAAUAUGAGUUUCCUUUUCCUAUCAUUUCAUUACUGAUUUCAGGACUGCCUUAACCACUCUUAACUAGGUCUCUGGUCUUCUUUUGAAGCUCAGGCUCCUGAAUCAGUCACAAUUUGGCUCUAGGAUGUACAGGGGGCACAGAUUGUAGGUGGUCCUAGAACUCAAACAGAGGGGUCUGAACUUGGCCCAAGAGUCAUACCCCAAGGCGUGAGAGCUCCUGAAACAGGAGAGGGUUUUAUGCAAGCUGUGUUUCAUAGUGAUCAUCUUUAUCUAUGUAAAUUCAUAUUGUGGAUAACUGUUCCUCCGGGAGACCAACUGGAAAGAUUUUAAUAAUUUCAGUAAAUAUUGAAACCCUAAGCCAAGAUGGAGCUCGGGAAAAAAACAGCAACAUGUUGAGACAAUCUAAAGGGAAGAAAUCAAAAUGUUAUAGGAGUUUGAUUUUGAAAAAGAAUCAGGAGGCAUUUCUGGCCCCUACUGUCAUUUCUAGGAAAAGUUGUGUUAGAUCCAAUCCAUGCUAAUUACUUGUUCUCUCCUAAUUGUGAAAAGUGUAUGGAAAGAAUGGCACACAAAGUCCUUUUCAGAAACUGAAGGCAUUGUGUUAUUAGCCAAAUCCCCUUUGAUUAAAAGAAGUACAUGUUAUUCGUCCUCAAUGUGGGAUGAACACCGAACAUUUACAAACUAUCAGAAAGGAGGUCUUUAUUGCUUUACUGGCCAAUCAAGUCCUGAAAAAGCCUGAGAGGGUGGUCAGGGUUUUGAACUAAGUGCUGGAAAAAUGGCCUUGGCCUUUUCUUCCUGGAAAUGUCCCACUCAACCUUGACUGCGAGGUUGUAUGACACGAGAAAGCACAGACACUGUGAAGAGAGAGACCACGCCCUUGAAGAAUAAAGUCCAUGACUGUGACCUUUCACUUGCAUGACUGGAAACUGUGCCUCUGCAAGUGCAGAGCCAGCUGCUGCUCACAGCACUCAGUGCAGUCCAUGUGCCUUGCUGCAGGUCAGCCACCGUAUGUGAAGGAUGCUGGGUGAGGACCCUGGGGGGAGGGGGGAGUCUCUGACAUCACUUGAGGGACCCUAUGCCACACACCAAGGUCCACACAGCAUCUUGUGAGCAGAAAUGGGGAAAGAGGAGAGACUUCAAGGGGCUGCAAAGGU